RNAcentral lists this unclassified non-coding RNA (22 nucleotides) under Dictyostelium discoideum. Lineage: Eukaryota; Evosea; Eumycetozoa; Dictyosteliales; Dictyosteliaceae. The record is from RNAcentral.
UUAUACUUUGCAGAUGAAGGAU